This 253-nucleotide ribosomal RNA is filed under the name uncultured bacterium. RNAcentral describes it as "partial 16S ribosomal RNA". It matches the Rfam family "Bacterial small subunit ribosomal RNA", at positions 524 to 776 of the family's 1533-position model. The record is from RNAcentral.
UACGGAGGGAGCUAGCGUUGUUCGGAAUUACUGGGCGUAAAGCGUACGUAGGCGGCUUGGUAAGUCAGAGGUGAAAGCCCACGACUCAAUCGUGGAACUGCCUUUGAGACUGCUUCGCUUGAAGAUGGGAGAGGUUAGUGGAAUUCCGAGUGUAGAGGUGAAAUUCGUAGAUAUUCGGAAGAACACCAGUGGCGAAGGCGGCUAACUGGACCAUUCUUGACGCUGAGGUACGAAAGCGUGGGGAGCAAACAGG